RNAcentral lists this ribosomal RNA (209 nucleotides) under uncultured bacterium. RNAcentral's name for it is "partial 16S ribosomal RNA". It matches the Rfam family "Bacterial small subunit ribosomal RNA", at positions 568 to 775 of the family's 1533-position model. The record is from RNAcentral.
CACGUAGGCGGAUAUUUAAGUCAGGGGUGAAAUCCCGGGGCUCAACCCCGGAACUGCCUUUGAUACUGGGUAUCUGGAGUAUGGAAGAGGUAAGUGGAAUUCCGAGUGUAGAGGUGAAAUUCGUAGAUAUUCGGAGGAACACCAGUGGCGAAGGCGGCUUACUGGUCCAUUACUGGCGCUGAGGUGCGAAAGCGUGGGGAGGCAAACAA